Molecule: ribosomal RNA, 374 nt
Filed under: uncultured bacterium
Lineage: Bacteria
Description: partial 16S ribosomal RNA
Rfam family: Bacterial small subunit ribosomal RNA
Source: RNAcentral
CCUACGGGUGGCAGCAGUGGGGAAUAUUGCGCAAUGGGCGAAAGCCUGACGCAGCGACGCCGCGUGAGGGAUGAAGGUCUUCGGAUCGUAAACCUCUGUCAGCAGGGAAGAACGGUCACGGUGCUAAGCAGCAGUGAAUUGACGGUACCUGCAAAGGAAGCACCGGCUAACUCCGUGCCAGCAGCCGCGGUAAUACGGAGGGUGGGAGCGUUAAUCGGAAUUCCUGGGCGUAAAGCGCUCGUAGGCGGUAUGUCCAGUCAAGGGUGAAAUCCCCGCGCUCAACGUGGGAACUGCCUUUGAAACUGGCAUCCUGGAGUGUGUGCGAGGCUAGUGGACUUCCAGUUGUCGGCGUGCAAUCCGUAGAUCUCUGGCGG